This 73-nucleotide transfer RNA is filed under the name Stegodyphus mimosarum. It matches the Rfam family "tRNA". From Rfam's summary of the family: Transfer RNA (tRNA) molecules are approximately 80 nucleotides in length. Their secondary structure includes four short double-helical elements and three loops (D, anti-codon, and T loops). Lineage: Eukaryota; Metazoa; Arthropoda; Arachnida; Araneae; Eresidae. The record is from Rfam by way of RNAcentral.
GCCUUUGUGGUGUAGUGGUCAGCACACUCGACGCGUAUUCGAGAGGUCCGUGGUUCGCGUCCUGGCAAGGGUA